UAGACCUAUGGCCCGAUUAUCCAUGUUUGUAUGUCGUUGAUUCAGCAGAUUUCAAAAACCAGGAUAAACGCUUCCUUGCUGCGUCAGAAAUCGCAGAGAAACUCAACAAAACAGCUCAGUGGGUCUUUUCAAAGAUAAAAGCUCUUCGCAACAGCUACACAAAAAUAAAGAAACUGGGACCCAGUGGAAGUUCAAGGAAAAGUUUAAGUAAAAGAGCAACCUGGAUGAAAGAGAGACUACAGUUUUUGGAUCCACACAUACAGACAAGAACAUCAAUCUCAAAUUUAAACAAGAAUUCAACGGUCUCAUCUGAAGUAACAAGUGA
Long non-coding RNA from Thalassophryne amazonica, 325 nucleotides. RefSeq lists it as uncharacterized. The record is from RefSeq and is a predicted model, not a curated record. Lineage: Eukaryota; Metazoa; Chordata; Actinopteri; Batrachoidiformes; Batrachoididae. The transcript has 3 exons.